This 610-nucleotide ribosomal RNA is filed under the name Marinobacter sp. RNAcentral describes it as "bacterial SSU rRNA". It matches the Rfam family "Bacterial small subunit ribosomal RNA", at positions 40 to 642 of the family's 1533-position model. The record is from RNAcentral. Lineage: Bacteria; Pseudomonadati; Pseudomonadota; Gammaproteobacteria; Pseudomonadales; Marinobacteraceae.
CUGCGCAGCUUACACAUGCAGUCGAGCGGUAACAGGGGGUGCUUGCACCCCGCUGACGAGCGGCGGACGGGUGAGUAAUGCAUAGGAAUCUGCCCAGUAGUGGGGGAUAGCCCGGGGAAACCCGGAUUAAUACCGCAUACGCCCUUUGGGGGAAAGCAGGGGAUCUUCGGACCUUGCGCUAUUGGAUGAGCCUAUGUCGGAUUAGCUAGUUGGUGGGGUAAAGGCCUACCAAGGCGACGAUCCGUAGCUGGUCUGAGAGGAUGAUCAGCCACAUCGGGACUGAGACACGGCCCGAACUCCUACGGGAGGCAGCAGUGGGGAAUAUUGGACAAUGGGGGCAACCCUGAUCCAGCCAUGCCGCGUGUGUGAAGAAGGCUUUCGGGUUGUAAAGCACUUUCAGUGAGGAGGAAAACCUUCUGGUUAAUACCCAUGAGGCUUGACGUUACUCACAGAAGAAGCACCGGCUAACUCCGUGCCAGCAGCCGCGGUAAUACGGAGGGUGCAAGCGUUAAUCGGAAUUACUGGGCGUAAAGCGCGCGUAGGUGGUUUGAUAAGCGAGAUGUGAAAGCCCCGGGCUUAACCUGGGAACGGCAUUUCGAACUGUCAGGCU